This 1355-nucleotide ribosomal RNA is filed under the name Mycoplasmopsis arginini. RNAcentral's name for it is "Mycoplasma arginini partial 16S ribosomal RNA". It matches the Rfam family "Bacterial small subunit ribosomal RNA", at positions 86 to 1440 of the family's 1533-position model. Lineage: Bacteria; Bacillati; Mycoplasmatota; Mycoplasmoidales; Metamycoplasmataceae. The record is from RNAcentral.
UUGAACCUAGCGGCGAAUGGGUGAGUAACACGUGCUUAAUCUACCCUUUAGAUUGGAAUACCCAAUGGAAACAUUGGCUAAUGCCGGAUACGCAUGGAAUCGCAUGAUUCCGUUGUGAAAGGAGCCUUUAAAGCUCCGCUAGAGGAUGAGGGUGCGGAACAUUAGUUAGUUGGUAGGGUAAUGGCCUACCAAGACUAUGAUGUUUAGCCGGGUCGAGAGACUGAACGGCCACAUUGGGACUGAGAUACGGCCCAAACUCCUACGGGAGGCAGCAGUAGGGAAUAUUCCACAAUGAGCGAAAGCUUGAUGGAGCGACACAGCGUGCACGAUGAAGGUCUUCGGAUUGUAAAGUGCUGUUAUAGGGAAAGAACACCUGGUUGAGGAAAUGCUUCCAGGCUGACGGUACCCUGUCAGAAAGCGAUGGCUAACUAUGUGCCAGCAGCCGCGGUAAUACAUAGGUCGCAAGCGUUAUCCGGAAUUAUUGGGCGUAAAGCGUUCGUAGGCUGUUUAUUAAGUCUGGAGUCAAAUCCCAGGGCUCAACCCUGGCUCGCUUUGGAUACUGGUAAACUAGAGUUAGAUAGAGGUAAGCGGAAUUCCAUGUGAAGCGGUGAAAUGCGUAGAUAUAUGGAAGAACACCAAAGGCGAAGGCAGCUUACUGGGUCUAUACUGACGCUGAGGGACGAAAGCGUGGGGAGCAAACAGGAUUAGAUACCCUGGUAGUCCACGCCGUAAACGAUGAUCAUUAGUCGGUGGAGAGUUCACUGACGCAGCUAACGCAUUAAAUGAUCCGCCUGAGUAGUAUGCUCGCAAGAGUGAAACUUAAAGGAAUUGACGGGGACCCGCACAAGCGGUGGAGCAUGUGGUUUAAUUUGAAGAUACGCGGAGAACCUUACCCACUCUUGACAUCCUUCGCAAUGCUAUAGAGAUAUAGCGGAGGUUAACGGAGUGACAGAUGGUGCAUGGUUGUCGUCAGCUCGUGUCGUGAGAUGUUUGGUCAAGUCCUGCAACGAGCGCAACCCCUAUCUUUAGUUACUAACGAGUCAUGUCGAGGACUCUAGAGAUACUGCCUGGGUAACUGGGAGGAAGGUGGGGAUGACGUCAAAUCAUCAUGCCUCUUACGAGUGGGGCAACACACGUGCUACAAUGGUCGGUACAAAGAGAAGCAAUAUGGCGACAUGGAGCAAAUCUCAAAAAGCCGAUCUCAGUUCGGAUUGGAGUCUGCAAUUCGACUCCAUGAAGUCGGAAUCGCUAGUAAUCGCAGAUCAGCUACGCUGCGGUGAAUACGUUCUCGGGUCUUGUACACACCGCCCGUCACACCAUGGGAGCUGGUAAUACCCAAAGUCGGUUAGCUAACC